This is a long non-coding RNA of Capra hircus (goat), 1332 nucleotides long. Lineage: Eukaryota; Metazoa; Chordata; Mammalia; Artiodactyla; Bovidae. The record is from Ensembl.
CUGUGCCCUCCCAGCCCUGUCCUGGUGAUGGGAUGCUGAAAGGUCCCCAGGGAGCCCAUUUCUCCUCCAGCCUGGACUACGGAACUCCCGGGGCCUUACUUAGGCCUCCUGUCAGACCCGUCUCCUGAGAACUAACCCUGCCGGGGAGGCGUGUGUGCCUGGGCAUGAAGACCUCAUCCGCCAGCCUGUGCUCAUGGCUCUGCCCCAGCAUUCAGGAGGCGCCUGCAUGGGGUGGGGGCUUCCCAGGUGGCGCAGAGGUAAAGAGCCUGCCUGCCAGCGCAGGGGAUGCAGGAGGCUGCGGGUCCAAGUCUUGGGUCGGAAGGCCCGCUGGAGCAGGAGCUGCCAGCCCGCUCAAGUGUUCCGGUAUGCAGAAUCCCAUGGACCUAGGAGCCUGGAGGACUGCAGUCCAUGGGAUCGCGAAAAGGCGAAUACGACUGAGCAUGCGCACAGGCGGAAGCCUUCAAGGAACAGGCGCUCGAUAACUGGGGGAGAAGGAAGGCGUCCAGGCAGCAGGGAACCGCCUCCUGUGCCCUCCCCAGCGGUGGGUGCCAUCAGGCCACUUCCCACCUCUUUCUUCCUCCUCAUCUCCUUCCAGGGUGCACUCCCCAGCAGGGCAUUCAGUGUGUGUGUGUGUGUGUAUGUGUGUGGCACGCGCACACUUGAGCCCCUGUGCGGAUGCCCAAAGGAAAGGGUCCCACGUGGGAGGGGUGGGCAGGGUACCCCAGGACCUCAGGCCGUCUGGUUCCCAGAGCAAACCCCACGGCAGGGCUGAAGCCCGGCCUCGGAGCCUGGAAGCCUGCCUUCCCCUCUGCGAGGGGCUCUCCUGGCCUGUUUCCUAACUGUCCCGUGAGGGCUUGGACAAGGACUGCUCAGGAGGCUCAGGGCGCUCACUGCGCUGACUCUCCCUCCUGGGGGCUGGGGGUGCGCUGCAGGCUCUCAGCCCUCCCCGCGCGCCUCGGGACGGGGUGCGGGGUGAGCCGCCAGGGGGCGGGGCCUCGGUCACCCCUCCCACGCGGCCGCACCGCGCACGCGCGUCCCCCUCCCGCCCCGCGCGCGCCGCCAACGGCCCCUCUGGUCGUGACCGGCCGCCGGCCCCCCAGUCGGCUGCGCUGGGGCCUGUGUCCCCUGGAGCUCCGACUCCGCCCCCGCCGCAGCCAGGCCGGCCGCCGAGCGCUGGGCCGGGUGCUCCUGGAGAGCAGGAGGCAGGCCAGUCCCCGCGCAAACCCCCAGCCCUCCGUCUGGACCCCAGGGCCCGGCUGGGCUGACAUGGAUGCAGGGCGUCCCUCACCUGCUGGUUGGAGAGCAGCGAGAAGCUGGCGUGGCAGACCCUGA